Molecule: long non-coding RNA, 532 nt
Organism: Daphnia pulicaria
Lineage: Eukaryota; Metazoa; Arthropoda; Branchiopoda; Diplostraca; Daphniidae
Exons: 2
Source: RefSeq, a predicted model, not a curated record
AUUUUAAAAAAUAAAUAAAUAAUUAAAUCAGAUAAAUUAUGAUUCAUUCAUUCAUAUCAGCAGAUAAGCAAAUCAUAGUGGCAAUAGUAAGUAUUGAUGACAGAUGAUAAAAUACCAGAGCAUCCAUGAAAAUGGGUCAACAAAAUUCAGGCCGAGUGGCGACUAGCCCCAAUGACGUGUAUCCAAUCCAAUGCAAUUAGCAACAUUAAAAUUUGAUAUCUAGUUUCGUCUUUUGUGGCGCUUGAUAGCUUUGUUGCUACCAACGACUGAAAUAAAAUGUUAAGAGCAUCUCAAUAUGCCUACUAGUUUCCUUAAAUCACACAUCAUGUUACACUUACCUUUACAAACACGAAGGACUUUAAAUUAAAUCAUAUUUUUACACACGACGAAUGGCGACUCAAAUCUUCUAUUGUGUAUGGUUAUACAAGUGUGCGGUAAACCAAACAGGAUAGAGAAUUGCCGGGUUUAAAAAACAUAAUGUAACUGUGGAAACAUUUUAUCUGGAAGGUAAAAACUCAAUUCGAAAAAUAGU